Molecule: long non-coding RNA, 283 nt
Organism: Canis lupus familiaris (dog)
Lineage: Eukaryota; Metazoa; Chordata; Mammalia; Carnivora; Canidae
Exons: 3
Source: RefSeq, a predicted model, not a curated record
UAGCCUCUCACACAGCAUUUUGACUCUGGGAAGGGGGAGGAUGAGAGCACGCUGACCCUGUAAAGCAAAAAGCCCUGGCCACUCCAUCUCAGCAGCACACCUGAACAUUCUGUAAAUUCUGCCAGUGGUGAGGUGGGAAGAAUUCCCUUCCUGGCCACUAUCAGUGAGGACUGCUCACUCGCUGUGCUGGACUCAGAGCUUUCUGAGGUGUUUAGAAGCCAAGCCCACAGAGACUUUGUGAGAGACGCUACGUGGUCCCCGCUCAAUCACUCUCUCCUUACCA